GUGGACUUCAUUCUCAAGAAAAGAAGAAGCAAACGGCAACUUUUAAUCUUGGUCCCAACGUAUCGCCCACAGCCCUCCACGUCUCCCGCACCAGCCUUUUAUUGCCAGCGCCAUCCCUAUCCCCUCCAAACCCCCGCUCACAUCCAUCCCUAUCGCCGCCGGCGCCUCAACCCACGCCGCCCUCGCUCCCUCCCCUCCCCCUCACGCUCAACGUCCGAUGGCGGCCAUGAAGGUGGUGCGGAACCUGGACCUGGAGCGGUACAUGGGCCGGUGGUACGAGAUCGCGUGCUUCCCGUCCCGGUUCCAGCCCAAGGACGGCGCCAACACGCGCGCCACCUACACGCUCGGCCCCGACGGCGCCGUCAGGGUGCUGAACGAGACCUGGACCGACGGCCGCCGGGGCCACAUCGAGGGCACCGCCUUCCGCGCCGACGACGCCGGCGACGAGGCCAAGCUCAGGGUCAGGUUCUACGUGCCCCCCUUCCUCCCCGUCUUCCCCGUCACCGGCGACUACUGGGUGCUCCACGUCGACGACGCCUACCAGGUCGCGCUCGUCGGCCAGCCCUCCCGGAACUACCUCUGGAUCUUGUGCAGGCAGCCGCAGAUGGACGAGGGCGUGUACGAGGAGCUGGUGGAGAGGGCCAAGGGGGAAGGGUACGACGUGAGCAAGCUCCGGAGGACGCCGCACCCGGAGCCGACGCCGGAGAGCCAGGACGCCCCCAAGGACGGCGGCCUGUGGUGGAUCAAAUCCCUCUUUGGAAAGUAAUAGGCGCUCCUUCUGCCAAAGCAGCAGAGAUGCAGUAGCACCAGCUGGUGUGGCUUGUACAGUUCAAUCUAGUAGUAUGUUCGUCGGUGCAGGGAAUCUGAAGAAUAUGUUUUUGCUUGUUUGUGGCGUAGGUACAUGUUCUGCAGAAUAAUCUGUUUGCCGGGUAAGGUCUGGCUGUGUUCUUACCUUAAGACUGUUGCUUGCUCGGAUUCAGAAAUCAGAAUAGCGCAUGCUCGCUCGGCUUCGGGCUGAUGCUUUGGUUUGGUGUGAUGGAUCCUGG
Molecule: ribosomal RNA, 1046 nt
Filed under: Triticum aestivum (bread wheat)
Lineage: Eukaryota; Viridiplantae; Streptophyta; Magnoliopsida; Poales; Poaceae
Description: partial small subunit ribosomal RNA
Source: RNAcentral